GGGCCAGUAGCUCAUCUGGUAGAGCACCGCCUUUGCACGGCGGGGGUGGCGGGUUCGAGUCCUGUCUGGUCCACAA
This 76-nucleotide transfer RNA is filed under the name Candidatus Magasanikbacteria bacterium CG10_big_fil_rev_8_21_14_0_10_38_6. RNAcentral describes it as "tRNA-Ala". It matches the Rfam family "tRNA". Rfam says of the family: Transfer RNA (tRNA) molecules are approximately 80 nucleotides in length. Their secondary structure includes four short double-helical elements and three loops (D, anti-codon, and T loops). Further hydrogen bonds mediate the characteristic L-shaped molecular structure. tRNAs have two regions of fundamental functional importance: the anti-codon, which is responsible for specific mRNA codon recognition, and the 3' end, to which the tRNAs corresponding amino acid is attached (by aminoacyl-tRNA synthetases). tRNAs cope with the degeneracy of the genetic code in two manners: having more than one tRNA (with a specific anti-codon) for a particular amino acid; and 'wobble' base-pairing, i.e. permitting non-standard base-pairing at the 3rd anti-codon position. The record is from RNAcentral. Lineage: Bacteria; Candidatus Magasanikiibacteriota.